Molecule: ribosomal RNA, 5949 nt
Filed under: Triticum aestivum (bread wheat)
Lineage: Eukaryota; Viridiplantae; Streptophyta; Magnoliopsida; Poales; Poaceae
Description: partial small subunit ribosomal RNA
Source: RNAcentral
AUGCAGGGCUUUGGACAAUGGCUUCCUCAAUCGCAGAGUGCAGCCGAUCUUUAUUUCUCAAGUAUUAUGUCAUCUCAGUUGGACACUUCCAUAGAGAUGCAGACUAGAAAUACUGCAGUUGCAGUGUUGGAGGAUGAGUCUGCUCAUUCGUUUGGCAUUACAAGUGCUGCUGGGCCAAUUGAAGUCACUAGAAAUGAUGCUGGGACAAUUAUAGACCAUGAAAAUGUUGCUGAACCGACUGGAGGUAUUGACUUGAACAAGACCCCACCACCAAAGGCUAAGAGGAAAAAGCACAGGCCAAAGGUCCUGAAACCAUCAAAGCCUCCUAAGCCUGCAACUCCAAAGCCUUCCAAGGCAAAGGAGGAAAAACCAUCUGGUAAAAGAAAGUAUGUCCGUAAGAAUAUGCCAGCAGGCCAACCUCCCUCAGAACAGAUUGCUGAGUCACAUCGCAAAGCUACCCUGAAACCCGCUAAGCGGUCUUUGAACUUUGAGGGGGAAGUUCCACAAGAGAACACACAUCCUGGAUCCCAAGCUCAAGUGGUAUCUUGUGAUCCCAAGGACUAUCAACCAUCCAUGCCUUCUACCGGUCAAAGAAAUGUCCAAAGCCAGUUGACAUGCCAUUUGGAUUUUACCACCAGUUCAAUGUACAGUUCAGCCAAUCAGAUGGCUGAUACACAGCUAUUGCCUGCAGAUAAUAUGAAAACAUCAAUUUACAGUUCAGCCAAUCAGAUGGCUAAUGCACAGUUUUUGCCUGCACAUAAUAUGCCAAAAGGAGUAUUAUUUGACCUCAAUAGUUCGACGAAUCAGAUACAGAAUGAGUAUGCUAAUUUUUUGGAUGGGCCUGCGCAAUUUUUUCAGUCUGGAAUAACAGAAACAUUACAAACAAAUCCUUUGCUAGAGCUCUGUGCUGGCAUGCCAGAUAAAAGUUUACCUGAUCUCAACAGUUCAAUCACUCUAAUGCAGGGCAUGCCAACUAAUUUUACUGAAUACUUGCUUUCAUCGUCACAAGCUUCUGUAAGAGAAACACAUAUGGGCAAACAGAUGCCUAAUUGUCAAAGAAUGCCAGAAAAUCCAGUUACACCUGCUCAGUGUUUUGAAGGGGUUGCAACGAGGGAAAACUUCAAUCUUAAUUCUUGUUUAAGAGAAGGAGGGGUAACCAACCAAAUAUGUCAUGGCUACAGAUCGACACAAAGCCCAAUCCCACCUCCCAAGCAAAUUGAAGGGCAUUCUGCAAUGGAAAAUUUGAAUGGGCUUGGAACAAUAAGUGACUACUUAAAGUUUACCACCAGUCCUAGUCCUUACAGGCAAACAGGUGGUGCACUUGGACUUCAUGGUUCACACAGCUCGUCACAUGUGCAUGCACUGGACACCAGAGAACACAAUGCUUCCAAUGGUGCCCAUAUUCCACUAGGUAUGAAUCUUGACCAGCAGAGGAAUGGAUGGGCAUCUGUAGAUGCGUGCCAUGCUGCACCCUCUCAGGGGUCAUAUUUUCCUGAAACCUACAAAAGAAUGAGAACAGAUAAUUAUAGUAAAUGCCUGAAUGGAGCUGUGGGCAACACAUCCACCCCAACUAUGUAUUUGUCAAACAAUCGGAAUACAAAUGUGGUUUCAGCUAUCAACUCUAAUGUGUUUACCCUAGCUGAUGCUCAAAGACUGAUAGCCCGUGAGAAAUCACGAGCUUCCCGAGGAAUGAUUAGUUUUGGAGGAUCAGGAUGCAAUAUGGUUAAAAGACCGGAAAUGAUCGAAGAACAUUAUAGACCUGCUAUCCGUGGCACUGCAUGCAGUGAUUCUGUUGAAGCACCUGAUAAACAUUUCAGACACAUAACAGAUAAAAUUACACAGGUGCCUAGUAAUAAUCCAAACACCUUGCAAAAUCAAAACUGUAGUCCGAGAAUUGGAAGUCAUCAACCACAGUUUUGGGAAGGCAACACGAUUGAAGUGUCAGAUUUGCCUGUUGAACAGCAUAAUCAGAGCACUGCCCCUCAGGAUGAUACUCGAAAUAAUUUCUGCAUUGGUCCUUCCGACGAGCUUGGCAGAAGCAUCAAUGGUGAAAUUUCUAGGUUCCCUGUCACUCCAACAGGCCAAUCAACAGGUAACAACACUAUGAAAAAGUUUGGUUUCCAACUGGAGACUUCUGGAGAAGUUAUUAUGCCCCUUACCAGUCCAAGAAAUUCAUCACCAGGUACUGAUGUUCUGAGAAAUGAGAAUCAUCAAGUGGAGGUUUGUGGAGAAACUACUGUAGCUAAACCUAGUGAGAAGCGAAAACCAGGACGACCCAGAAAAGAGAUAAAACCUGGUGAGAAUCCAAAGCCUAGAGGUCGUCCAAGGAAGCAAAAGGUGGUUGGUGCAGAACUUGCAUCCAAAGGUAGCCAUACUGAUCCAUGGCCAAUUGAGGAUAUUUCUGUUAUCUCUGGACCUCAUGCGGGAGUGUCUCCUGGUUCCGAAGGGAUUAAUACGGAACGAAGUGGAGAAAGUUCUCCUGGAGCUAUAGCACCUCCAGUGGAUCCUUUGGAUCUCAUAAUUCAAAAGAUAAAAGUCUUAGACAUAAACAAAUCAGAUGACACCGGGUCAGCUGAGCCGCAUGGUGCUCUUGUCCCUUACAAAGGAGAAUUUGGUGCAAUUAUUCCAUAUGAGGGGAAAGGGAAAAGAAAAUAUGCCCGGGCCAAAGUGAACCUUGAUCCAGUGACUGCUCUAAUGUGGAAGUUAUUGAUGGAGCCAGAUAUGGUUGAUGGUUCCGAAGGGAUGGAUAAGGACAAAGAGAAAUGGCUUGAAGAAGAAAGGAGAAUAUUCCGAGGACGUAUUGAUUCGUUCAUUGCUCGCAUGCAUCUAGUUCAAGGAGAUCGCCGUUUCUCUCCCUGGAAAGGAUCAGUUGUGGAUUCAGUAGUGGGUGUUUUUCUCACCCAGAAUGUUUCAGACCAUCUUUCCAGCUCUGCGUUUAUGGCUCUUGCUGCAAAAUUUCCUGCAAAGCCAGAAGUCUCUAAAAUAUCUGCAGAUAGGAUGUUUCACACAGCAUCAGAGAACGUUGGUUGUUCUGGAUUGUUUGGUGAUUCUGUCAAAUUGCCGGGCGGUAUUCUUGUUGAAGAGGGAAGUAACACAACAGGCUCCUUAGUUACAACAGAAGAAAAGGAAGGAAGCAACAGUUCUGGGUUGUUUGGAAAUUCUCCUGGAGAUGGAGUAGACUGUACAGCAGGGGUUUAUUAUAAUUCUUAUGGGACACUGCCGGUUAGGCUGCAUGAGGGCAAGCCACCGGCUGUGGGGACUGAAAGCGUUGUUGAAGUCGAAGAUGGGGCACUGGAGGACGUUGUUUCAUCACAGAACUCUGCUAUUUCAUCUCAAAGUUCCCCUGAUUAUCUGUUUCACAUGACUGAUCAUAUGUUCCCAAGCACAUUGCUAAAUUUUACAGCAGAAGACUUUGUUGGCAGAAAUAUGGCCAAUGGUACAAGCAAUUCAACCACAUACACAGAACUUCUAAAGAUGCAAGAGCUAAAGAGCAAGCCUAAUGAAAAGGAAUAUGAUGGAGUUCCAAUACAAUGUACAAACAGGGGUUCAAUCCCCAGUGAAGUACAUAACCUUAACAGCAAGACUCAACCUCUUCAAGCUUCUGGCUCUUAUCACCAGAAUGGCCGAGCUCAUCUCCCAGAUAUAACAUUUUCCAAUGACUUAGAGCACUCAGUAUACACUGGCCUUAAUAGAACAUAUGAUUCCAGGGUCACACCAGCUGAGAUCAGAUAUGAUUGUUCUUUAUCUUCUCCUGGAAUUGACAGUGAAAAUAGAUCUCAAACAACUGAUUCUUUAACUGCUCUUCUAUACGGUAUAGAUGGAUCCUUAAGUCAGGACAAAAUCCCUUUCCCUUCCAUGGCGACGCAAGGAGCUGACUCGAUUUCAACAUUAAUGGAUAAAUAUUUUCAUCCAUCAAGUUCAGAGACGGCGUCAUUUGCUAGGGAGCAAUUGUCCUGUGAAAAUAAUCUUCAAAGAAAUGACGUUGUAGCUGCAUUUGUGAAACAGCAUGAAACUUUGAAUCUGCAAGAGGAAUGUACUGCCAGAGCAAAGCAAAUUGGAGGUGAAAAUUAUCAGUCAGAAUGUAGCCAACAGUAUGGCAAUGUUGGACUUUCAUCAAACAUGGAUGGGAGUCAUUGUUCCUCAAACUUGUAUCAAAAUCAAAAAGCAAAUUCUGAACUCCUAGAGAGGAUUGCUUCAGACUCAAUAGAGAAACCCAAAGAUACUAAUAAGGCUUUACCUGAAGUUCCUGCUGACAGAUCAAAAGCAAAGAAGGCAAGGGCUGGUAAAAAGAGAACAUAUGAUUGGGAUAUUUUAAGAAAAGAAGUUCUUGCUAGUCGAGGAAACGAAGGAAGAGGUGAGAAUGCAAAGGAUGCACUUGAUUGGGAAACAAUAAGGCAAAUAGAUGUGAAGGAAAUAUCUAACACAAUUAGAGAGCGAGGAAUGAACAACAUGCUCUCAGAGCGGAUACAAGAUUUUCUAAACCGGGUGGUGAGAGACCAUGGGAGCAUUGACCUUGAAUGGUUGCGAUAUGUCGAUCCAGACAAAGCAAAGGAGUACCUCUUAAGCAUUAGAGGUCUUGGACUGAAAAGUGUAGAGUGUGUGCGUCUUUUGACACUCCAUCAUAUGGCUUUCCCUGUGGACACAAAUGUUGGUAGGAUUUGUGUGAGGCUGGGAUGGGUGCCACUUCAACCCCUACCUGAGUCUCUUCAGUUGCAUCUGUUGGAGCUGUAUCCAAUGCUGGAGAACAUACAGAAAUACCUCUGGCCUCGAUUAUGCAAGCUUGAUCAACGGACAUUGUACGAGCUUCACUAUCAAAUGAUAACGUUUGGAAAGGUAUUUUGUACAAAAAGUAAGCCAAAUUGCAAUGCAUGCCCAAUGAGAGCUGAAUGCAAGCACUUUGCAAGUGCAUUUGCAAGUGCUAGACUUGCUCUUCCUGGACCUGAAGAGAAGAGUUUGGUUACGUCAGGAAACCCAAUUGCUUCAGGGAGCUGCCAGCAGCCAUACAUAAGUUCUAUGCGUUUAAAUCAACUUGACUGGAAUGCAAAUGCCCAUGACCAUAUUCUGGACAAUCGCCAGCCAAUCAUUGAGGAGCCAGCAAGUCCGGAACCAGAACCAGAGACUGCAGAGAUGAGAGAGAGUGCCAUAGAGGAUAUUUUUCUUGAUGAUCCUGAAGAAAUUCCUACAAUCAAGCUUAAUUUCGAGGAGUUUGCACAGAAUCUCAAGAAUUAUAUGCAAGUCAAUAACAUUGAAAUGGAAGAUGCUGAUAUGUCAAGUGCCUUGGUUGCCAUAACUCCGGAAGCUGCAUCUAUCCCGACUCCUAGGCUCAAGAAUGUUAGUCGCCUAAGAACAGAGCAUCAAGUCUAUGAACUGCCGGACUCACAUCCACUUCUGGAAGGAUACGACCAAAGAGAGCCUGAUGAUCCUUGCCCGUAUCUACUCUCUAUAUGGACCCCAGGUGAAACAGCUCAGUCAAUUGAUGCACCCAAGACAGCAUGCAACUCCAAUGAGAGCGGUAAACUAUGUGACAGCAGUGCAUGCUUCAGUUGCAACAGUAUGCGAGAGGCGCAGGCUCAAACAGUCAGAGGAACAAUUUUGGUACCGUGUCGAACAGCUAUGAGAGGAAGCUUUCCACUUAAUGGGACAUAUUUCCAAGUAAAUGAGGUAUUUGCUGAUCACGACUCAAGCCGAAACCCAGUUGAUGUUCCGAGGAGAUGGAUAUGGGACCUCCCUAGGAGAACAGUUUACUUCGGAACUUCAGUUCCUUCAAUCUUUAAAGGUUUAACAACUGAAGACAUACAGCAGUGCUUCUGGAGAGGAUUUGUUUGUGUGAGGGGCUUUGAUAGGACAUCAAGAGCACCAAGACCACUGUACGCAAGGCUUCACUUUCCAGCAAGCAAAGUUACCAGGAAUAAAAAGGGUGCAGCUUCUGCAGGCACAGAUGAUGCAUAG